This 423-nucleotide ribosomal RNA is filed under the name uncultured bacterium. Its description in RNAcentral is "bacterial SSU rRNA". It matches the Rfam family "Bacterial small subunit ribosomal RNA", at positions 28 to 463 of the family's 1533-position model. The record is from RNAcentral.
GACGAACGCUGGCGGCGUGCUUAACACAUGCAAGUCACGGGGGCCCGCAAGGGCAACCGGCGAACGGGUGCGUAACACGUGAACAACCUGCCCUCGUGUGGGGGAUAGCCGGGCUAACGCCCGGGUAAUACCGCAUACGUUUCUCUGGAGGAGUCUCUGGGGAAGGAAAGCUCCGGCGCACGGGGAGGGGUUCGCGGCCUAUCAGCUAGUUGGCGGGGUAAUGGCCCACCAAGGCGACGACGGGUAGCUGGUCGAGAGGAUGGCCAGCCACAUUGGGACUGAGAGACGGCCCAGACUCCUACGGGAGGCAGCAGUGGGGAAUCUUGCGCAAUGGCCUAACGGCUGACGCAGCGACGCCGCGUGAGGGAUGACGCUCUUCGGAGUGUAAACCUCUUUUGCCUGAGACGAAUUGCCAGCUUUAGC